RNAcentral lists this non-coding RNA (230 nucleotides) under Knoellia aerolata. Lineage: Bacteria; Bacillati; Actinomycetota; Actinomycetes; Micrococcales; Intrasporangiaceae. The record is from RNAcentral. RNAcentral also lists the same sequence under 1 other name.
AUGGUGACGCCUGCAGCUGGUUCACCGCCGCACUCCGGUGCGGUGGUGAGGCAACAGGGAACCCGGUGCAAGACCGGGACUGCCCCGCAGCGGUGAGUGGGAACGACCGCCAUCUCCCCGGCAUCCGCCGGGGAAACAGCACUUCGCCUUCGGGCGGGGGAAGCGAUGGCCAGUAGGCGGCUUCGGCCGAGCCCGCGAGUCCGAAGACCUGCCAGCGCACCGUGCCCGCC